GAGUUUGAUCCUGGCUCAGAACGAACGUUGGCGGCGUGGAUUAGGCAUGCAAGUCGAACGAAUCCCGCGGUAGCAAUACUGCGGGGGAAGUGGCGAAAGGGGCAGUAAGGCGUAGGUAACCUACCCCGGUGACGGGCAUAGCCCUCCUAACGGAGGGGUAAUUCCCGGCGACACAGCGAGAGGGCAUCCUUUUGCUGUCAAACGAGUUUCGCUCCGGGCGGGGCUUACGUGGUAUUAGCUAGUUGGUGGGGUGACGGCCCACCAAGGCCGAGAUGCCUAGCGGGUGUGAGAGCAUGACCCGCGCCACUGGCACUGCGACACUGGCCAGACUCCUACGGGAGGCUGCAGUCGAGGAUCUUCGGCAAUGGGCGCAAGCCUGACCGAGCGACGCCGCGUGUGCGAUGAACGCCUUCGGGUUGUAAAGCACUGUCGAGGGGGACCAGGCCCGCAAGGGCUUGAGGGAUCCCUGGAGGAAGCACGGGCUAAGUUCGUGCCAGCAGCCGCGGUAAGACGAACCGUGCGAACGUUGUUCGGAAUCACUGGGCUUAAAGGGCGCGUAGGCGGCCCGCCAAGUCGGGGGUGAAAUCCUCCCGCCCAACGGGAGAAGUGCCUUGGAUACUGGCGGGCUCGAGCGGGGUAGGGGCAUGUGGAACUUCCGGUGGAGCGGUGAAAUGCGUAGAUAUCGGAAGGAACGCCGGUGGCGAAAGCGACGUGCUGGACCCCCCCUGACGCUGAGGCGCGAAAGCCAGGGGAGCGAACGGGAUUAGAUACCCCGGUAGUCCUGGCCCUAAACGAUGGGCACUAGGUUGCGGACUUACAUGGGUUCGCAGCCGGAGCGAAAGUGCUAAGUGCCCCGCCUGGGGAGUAUGGUCGCAAGGCUGAAACUCAAAGGAAUUGACGG
Molecule: ribosomal RNA, 901 nt
Filed under: uncultured Planctomycetota bacterium
Lineage: Bacteria; Pseudomonadati; Planctomycetota
Description: bacterial SSU rRNA
Rfam family: Bacterial small subunit ribosomal RNA
Source: RNAcentral